Molecule: ribosomal RNA, 501 nt
Filed under: uncultured bacterium
Lineage: Bacteria
Description: partial 16S ribosomal RNA
Rfam family: Bacterial small subunit ribosomal RNA
Source: RNAcentral
AUUGAACGCUGGCGGCAUGCCUUACACAUGCAAGUCGAACGGCAGCACGGGUGCUUGCACCUGGUGGCGAGUGGCGAACGGGUGAGUAAUAUAUCGGAACGUACCUUAUUGUGGGGGAUAACGCAGCGAAAGCUGUGCUAAUACCGCAUAAUCCCUAAGGGGGAAAGCGGGGGACCGUAAGGCCUCGCGCAAUUAGAGCGGCCGAUACCUGAUUAGCUAGUUGGUGAGGUAAAGGCUCACCAAGGCAACGAUCAGUAGCUGGUCUGAGAGGACGAUCAGCAACACGGGGACUGAGACACGGGCCAGAAUCCUACGGGAGGCAGCAGUGGGGAAUUUUGGACAAUGGGGGCAACCCUGAUCCAGCAAGGCCGCGGGAGUGAAGAAGGCCUUCGGGUUGUAAAGCUCUUUUGUCAGGGAAGAAACAGCAGCUCUAACACAGUUUGCGAAUGACGGUACCUGAAGAAUAAGCACCGGCUAACUACGUGCCAGCCGCCGCCGUAA